AUACGGAGGGGACAAGCGUUAUUCGGAAUCACUGGGCGUAAAGGACGCGUAGGCGGGUUUGUAAGUCAGGUGUGAAAUCCUACAGCUCAACUGUAGAACUGCACUUGAAACUACAGACCUAGGGUAUGGAAGGGGCAGAUGGAAUUAGUGGUGUAGGGGUAAAAUCCGUAGAUAUCACUAGGAAUACCGAAAGCGAAGGCGAUCUGCUGGGACAUUACUGACGCUGAGGCGUGAAAGCGUGGGGAGCAAACAGGAUUAGAUACCCGGGUAGUCC
RNAcentral lists this ribosomal RNA (274 nucleotides) under uncultured bacterium. RNAcentral's name for it is "partial 16S ribosomal RNA". It matches the Rfam family "Bacterial small subunit ribosomal RNA", at positions 523 to 796 of the family's 1533-position model. The record is from RNAcentral.